This 632-nucleotide ribosomal RNA is filed under the name Amnibacterium sp. Ri2Ps_4875. Its description in RNAcentral is "bacterial SSU rRNA". It matches the Rfam family "Bacterial small subunit ribosomal RNA", at positions 383 to 1028 of the family's 1533-position model. Lineage: Bacteria; Bacillati; Actinomycetota; Actinomycetes; Micrococcales; Microbacteriaceae. The record is from RNAcentral.
CUGAUGCAGCAACGCCGCGUGAGGGAUGACGGCCUUCGGGUUGUAAACCUCUUUUGGCAGGGAAGAAGCGAAAGUGACGGUACCUGCAGAAAAAGCACCGGCUAACUACGUGCCAGCAGCCGCGGUAAUACGUAGGGUGCAAGCGUUGUCCGGAAUUAUUGGGCGUAAAGAGCUCGUAGGCGGUUUGUCGCGUCUGCUGUGAAAACGCGAGGCUCAACCUCGCGCCUGCAGUGGGUACGGGCAGACUAGAGUGCGGUAGGGGAGAUUGGAAUUCCUGGUGUAGCGGUGGAAUGCGCAGAUAUCAGGAGGAACACCGAUGGCGAAGGCAGAUCUCUGGGCCGUUACUGACGCUGAGGAGCGAAAGCGUGGGGAGCGAACAGGAUUAGAUACCCUGGUAGUCCACGCCGUAAACGUUGGGAACUAGAUGUGGGGUCCAUUCCACGGAUUCCGUGUCGCAGCUAACGCAUUAAGUUCCCCGCCUGGGGAGUACGGCCGCAAGGCUAAAACUCAAAGGAAUUGACGGGGGCCCGCACAAGCGGCGGAGCAUGCGGAUUAAUUCGAUGCAACGCGAAGAACCUUACCAAGGCUUGACAUGCACCUGAAAAGGCUGGAAACAGUCUCCUCGCAAGACA